UUACUUCACAUUAUAGGUUUGUAGGCCUGCCAUUCACACGUCACAUGCAGUGAGAUUCUCAGAAAAUACAGAGAACCCCGGAGUCCUGCAGGUUUUAGAUGUGUCCUUGAUCCAGCACAGCUGAUUCAAAUGGCUAAAUGACCUCCUCAACAUGUCUUGACUUUCUUCAGAGGCCUGGCAAUGAACUAAUCAUUUGAUUCAGGUGUGCUGACCCAGGGUGAGACCUAAAACCUGCAGGACACCGGCCAUGAGGCCUGGAGUUGGACACCCCUGCUUUAAACUAUGAGCAAAGAGCACUUCAAAUGGUCUAAAACAUGCUGAAAUGCUGUGUUUGUUUCAUUUUCUACUCAUAUGAAAUCAAGAAGUGCCACGUGGGAUGAAGAAGCGUAAACGCUGCAUGUUCGUUUCAUGAUGAAAGCACCUUUGCCAGCCUUCAAAUGUCACUGAGGAGAAAAAAGUUAACCAGCAGCCUGACGCAGGUACUGAAUAGUAGCAGCUCAGGCUCACACCUUUAACACUUCUCAACACUUUAAUAAUAAGUCUGAGCUGUUAUUAAACUGCAGCAGAGAUCCAGGCUUUAAUCCAAGGAUACCGCCUUUGAGGAAACAUCUGAAGGCGAUGAACUCCUGACUCUGUUAGUCCUGCGGCAGGUUGCCAUCCUGCCCGGGGCGUACCCUGCACCUCUCUCCAUGACAGCUGAAGACUCCAGCUGGGGCCACACUGCAGAACUGAAGUGGAAGAAAUGAAUGAAUGGAACUACAACACAAUCGGCUCACUGUUCCUCCUGGUUACAUUUGGAAAUAACUGGAAAAGUCAUCACAUAAAGAAAACCGUGUGAGUCACAGAGGUGUCCAGUGAAAAAGCCCAAGAUGGAAACUGACUAUAAAACUCCUUUAUGGAUGAGCUCACGCCCACAUAAGCCCUAAACUGCUUUAAAGUCGUAUACUUUACAACUACAGAGGCUUGCUUCAUUUUAAUGUUUCCAGGGCUGAACUCCUUUAGCCGAUGGCAGGAAAUCCCACCUCAUCAUCCGUCCCCAGUACAGUGUCACAUCUGCUCGCAACAGCAACAACUUCAUAUUAAAGAAAACUGUCCACGACCUUCCAGAAAUUCCAAUAAUUAAAUCCAAGUUGCAGGUGGAACAACUGAAACUCCAUCAUGCAGUAGAAGAAGGAAGUCACAGUAAAAACUGAACAUGUGAUUGGUCUCCAGCAGACAGUGAGGGUGGAAAAAUGAAGGGCUUUUUUAGAAAACCAUUAAAUGAAUGCAUAACAUAAAGUGCUGUGGAUAUUAAAUCCAUCUUAAUUAAAGGAAAUAUUUGACAGAAAAGGUAAAUAAAUUAAAAGUACAAAAUAAAUGAUCAUCGUUUGAUCCUGAUACCAGAGCCACCUGAAAAAGGACUAAAUUUUAUCUCCAAAGUGACGACGCACAGGCUUCGUCGUUUUGUUUAUUUGGUAAUAUAUUCAGUUAAAUGCAAAUCUUGCUCCUGGAUUCUUUUUGAUGCAUCUAAAAAGCUUUAUUUAUUUAUUUAUGCAUUACUUGAUGAUUAGUUAUUUAUUCAUUCGUUUUGGACAUUUGUUUCCUCCAGAAACAAACACAAAUGUCUUCUGGUUUGUUCAGUUUACACUCUCACCUUCAUGUCACUCCAGGAUUAAAUCACUUUUUAUUCAAACGGGUAUCAUUGGCAAAAAGUGUCGUUUAGCCCAAGAUAAUGUUAAUGGUGUGAAACCGGAUAUUUCCUGAUUCUAUUGAUCUGUUUGUCAAGCCAACAGCUGUCCGUGUAUCUUUGUAGUUUUAUCUUCAGUUUAACGAGCUCUGUUGGCCUCAUGAUCGACUCACUGAUGAGUAACCUGAAAACUCGAGAUUUUACCUCCAGACAUUAGAAAGGAAUGUGGAUUUAUCUCCCACAUGUUGUUGUUGUAUAACGAUGAUCACGACCACAUGUCCUUCCGUGUGACUCAAUUGACAAGUUUAAACCAAGUGACAACCUCGGGGGCUGAAACAGAAGCGGCAAAGGCUGCAGUUCCUCUGAUGGCCAUUUGAAGCUGUGUCCUGUAGCCCAUACGUUUCUGUAGACCUCCAGGUUAAAAUCAAGCUGGAAAAGGAAGCCAACGUAGAAGUUCUGUAGUUCCUCCAGAGUCCUCUAUGUGUGUUGUUGGGGGAAACUUCAAAACCAGAGUUUUCGGUGGUUAACUUCACAUUGGAAACGUUCUUGUCCUUCCCUUUUAGAGACUAACUGUGAGGGCCAUUCAUAUGUGUGUUUAUUGAGUUGUCCCUUAGUUUUACUUGAACUUUAUGUUUUUAUUUGUUUUUAUGCCUGAAAGUGUGUGUGUGUGUGUGUGUGUGUGUGUGUGUGUGUGUGUGUGUGUGUGUGUGUGUGUGUGUGUGUGUGUGUUACUAUUAAGGUGUAACAAGGAAGUCAAGAAACCUCAUUACAUGAGGCUCAGAGAAAAUACUUCAAAGGACAAAUAUGGAUGAAAACUCGCUGCUCUGUGCUGACCGAUGGAAAUCUCCACUGCUCUGCCCAUCAGAGCAGAAAUGAUCUUUGUGUUUCCCCUUCCUCUCCACCUGCAGCUGCUCCUGCAUGGCAACCAGGCUGAAGCUCAGUCCCAUUUACGAGCAAAAACCUUCCUAAAUCCUUCACGUCUCUGCAUGCUUUCUUGUAAAGUUGCCAAAAGCUGCCAAAUGUUUGAGUGUUUUUAUCUUCUAAAAUUACACAGUGCAAAACUGUAAAUGCAGAAACCACCUGUAUUAUCACACAGUGACUUUCAGUGGGACAAAAGCUGAAACUGAAAGGUGAUUGAUCCUCAGGAACAGUGAGUUCUGUUUGAGGUGAUGGCAACACAAAGCUUGAUAGCUUGAUGUGCUGCAGGAGCACUUGCUUUUGUUUUCUGCUCUCCAAACAAAGGGCAUGCAAGCAAAGUCUGCCAGCAGGUAAACAUGCAUGCAG
Astatotilapia calliptera (eastern happy) is the source of this 2950-nucleotide long non-coding RNA. The record is from Ensembl. NCBI's taxonomy places the organism in Eukaryota, Metazoa, Chordata, Actinopteri, Cichliformes, Cichlidae.